Molecule: ribosomal RNA, 253 nt
Filed under: uncultured bacterium
Lineage: Bacteria
Description: partial 16S ribosomal RNA
Rfam family: Bacterial small subunit ribosomal RNA
Source: RNAcentral
UACGGAGGGUGCGAGCGUUAUCCGGAAUUACUGGGUUUAAAGGGUGCGUAGGCGGCUAGAUAAGUCAGGAGUGAAAGCUCGAGGCUCAACUUCGGAAUUGCUUUUGAUACUGUUUAGCUUGAAUUAGGAUGAGGUUAGCGGAAUGUGGCAUGUAGCGGUGAAAUGCAUAGAUAUGCCAUAGAACACCAAUUGCGAAGGCAGCUAACUGGACCUAUAUUGACGCUGAGGCACGAAAGCGUGGGGAGCGAACAGG